Molecule: non-coding RNA, 338 nt
Organism: Chelonoidis abingdonii (Abingdon island giant tortoise)
Lineage: Eukaryota; Metazoa; Chordata; Testudines; Testudinidae
Source: RefSeq, a predicted model, not a curated record
GGGAGAUGCCGCUCGGCGCGCGGGACCCGGGGCUCCGCGCCACGCGGCCCCCGCCGAGGGACCCUGAGCACGUUCAGAAGUUGCCACAGAGACCCUGACAGCUCUUGUCUCCGACUCUGAGGGCCAGCAAAGCUAGUGAAUUACCCGCGCCAGGCCCAGAGCUGCAGUGCCCUCAGUGAGAGGCUGAUCGGAGUGGAUUUGCUGUCUGGAUCCAAACAAACUAAUCUGGGUGCAGAAUUGUUCUCUGGCACCUCAUCAAGCAAAUAGUCAACGGAACUCCAAGUCCUUGCUCUGCUGCAGCCUCAGGACACAGAGAACCCAGGGAGGCAGAGUUUGAA